GAAAAUGUACUCGUACUCCCCUUGUUCUAAAUGUUAUCUGUUCAUGCAGGAAUCUUCUGAGACAUCCAUCAUCCUAUCUGGUCCACAGUCAUUGAUCCACACCAUUUGCCACUGAGAUGUCAUCAUUUCUGUUUGCCUAUUUCUUCAGGUAUGGUGUUGUGCUCUCACUGUAAUGACAUGUCACAUAUAGGAGAAUUUACAUAAUGCCUAAUUCAAUGUAAAUGCCGUGUAAAUAGUUAUUAUAUUGUUUAGGGAACAGAGACAAGGAAAAAAGUCUGUACAUUUUCAGUUCAGAUGCAACCAGAUGGGUCAAAGGUUUACAUGUAAAGAAAUGAAAGCCACAAAAGAAUUGCAAGAAACUAUUGUGAGGUUUUGAAAAUCAUAAUAAUAGAUGGAGAGAAAAUCCUUUCUGUGUAUGUCACAAGGUUCAAAAACCAGGAAGUUAAUAUUGAUAUAUUAAAUCUAACAUAUAUGUAGCCUGGGUUCAGAAACUCACUUAUAGGUGUAUUCUCCACCAUUUCUACAUCAAUAUACCUGUAAAAGAAGUGCAUGGCAAUGUUGUUUAUAAUUGCUUUUUUUAAUAAAAGGAAUCCAUCAACAACAGAACAGAUAAAUAAACUAUAGUAUAGGUGUAUAGUUAAGAAUUUAACCUUGCCCAAAGAAGUCUGACCUUUGGGAGAUAAUCAAUAAAUCUGUAAAAUAUUGUACCCAAUAGGAGUAUAUUUGUUUGCAAGUAACUUUGGAACUUGUGAUCUAGAUAGUCUUAACACUGUGAUUUAGCAUGGAGGAUAAUCAAUAAGAAAACACCCUACAAUCUAAUAGAUAAAUAGGCAGAAGAUAUGAUCAUACAACUCACAAAAAGAGGAAAAUAUGAAUGGCUCUUAAUUUUAUAAAAGUAUGCUCAAACUUAUUCAUAAUAAGAGAAGUAUAGAUUUAAAUUUAAUUGGAGAGAUUGUUUUUCACCAUCAGAUUAAAGAUUCAAGUUUGUUAUUAAACUUGGUAAAGGUUUAGGGAAGUAGGUACUCUAUCUACUGGUGAGGAAGAAAAUUGUUAAAGCUUCAGUAAAAGGCAAUUUGACAAUAUCUAUUAAAAUUAGAAAUAUAUUUACUCAUUACUCCCAAGUUCUACAUGUAGUAAUUUAUUCUGUAGGUAUUUUCACACACCUAUGAAAAGACAUGUCUACAGGUUAUUUGUAGCAAUAUGACUUGUAAUAUUAAAAUAUUUGAAACAACAUAAAUCUUCACUUCUGAGCCAGGUAUAGUGGUGCACACUUGUAAUCCCAGCAACUCCAGAGGCUGAAACAGGAGGAUUGCAAAUUGGAAGCCAGUCUCAGUAAUUUAGCAAGGUCCUAAGCAACUUAAUGAGACUCUGUCUCAGAUUGAAAAACAAAAAGGGCUGCAGAUGUAACUUAGUGUUCAAGCACCACUGGAUUCAAUCCCCAGUACCAAAAAAUAAAUAAAUAAAAAUAAGAAUUUUUUUAAAAUCUCCAUUUAUGAUAGACUGAUUAAAUCAAUUUGAUACAUUACAAUCACAAAAAAUAUGUAGGAAUUCUUUGCUUACUGAUUAGAAUGGCCUUCAACUAUAUCUGUACAGAAUGGUAUAUAAAAUAUGUUACCAUUUGUGGAAAUAGUGGUGGUGAAGAUAAGAACAUAUAUUCUUAUUAGCCUAUAAGUGCUUACAAAUAUCUUUGGAAAGAUAUGCAAAACAUUUGUAAGAUUUGUUAUUGUCUUUGAGAAAUGUUUUGACCUGAGUGUCUGUGCCCCCCUCCAAAUUUUUUUUUAUUUGUUCUAAUUAGUUAUACAUGGCGGUAGAAUGCAUUUGGACGUAUUGUACACAAAUGGAGCACAACUUCUCAUUCCUCUGGCUGUCCCCAAAAUUUAUAUGUUGAAGUCUUUAUCCCCAAUGUGAUGGUAUUAGGAGGUGGGCCUUUGGGAGGCGAUUGGAUUUAGAUGAGGUUACAAGGGUGGAACCCUUCUGGUGGGAUUAAUGCCUGUAGGAGGAAGAGACACCAGAGCUUUCUCUUUCUAUUCUGUGAAGAUACCAUAAAAGAGGUAGCCUGUAAGCAAAAGUGGUCCCUCACCAGACAUGAGAGCUACUAACACUUCAAUCUUGGACUUCCUAGCUUCUAGAACUGUGAGAAAUAAAUUCUGUUGUGGUAUUUUGUUAUAGCAGUUUUGGGUGACUAAUACAGGGAAAAUUUUGAUGAAUGGGUGACAGGUGAAAAGGAGACCUUUUACCUUUAAAUUUUUAAAUUAUGGUGUAUGUAAUCACUAUCCAAAAAUAAACAGGGGGCUGGGGUUGUGGCUCAGUGGUAGAGCACUUUUCUAUCAUGUGUGAGGCCCUGGGCUCAAUCCUUAGCACCACAUAUAAAUAAAUAAAAUAAAGGUCCAUUGACAACUAAAAAAAACUUUAAAAAUAAAUAGGGUCUAUUUUGUAAUUUAAUUACUCAUUGAUAUAUUUUCAUUUUUAGGAUAAAAGAUAACAUCAAGAAAGAGAAAGAGAAGGAAAAAAGGGGAAACGAUUACAUAUGUCAUCGUUUUAAGGUAUCAUAUAGUUUUAGAAGAUUAUGAUGUAAUACUUUUGAUCAUUGGUUUGCGUUUUCAAUCAGUUUGGUUUGUCAAGAUCAUAAUCACAGUGUCCAUGGUGUUAAAGAGAAAAUUAUGUGUAUUAUUUUUUUCUUGUUAGUUUUAUCUACAAUAUAUAGAUAUUUUAAAAUUUACAUUGUCAUCUCUUAAAUAUCUGUAAUAAGAUAAAUAGAGUAGAUUUAUGUACUCCAAAACAGCAAAAAGACCUAUUGCAUUAUUUUCAAUCCAUGUACCUUCAAAGAGUAAUAUUCACUGAACAGUUACCUACUUUUAAAUUUUAUUUUUUUAAAAAUAUAUGUGUAACAUAGCUUCAUGUAUUGUCCUUGGAAUCAUUUAGUAUAGUUAAAAUACAGAAUUACCAGGUCCUUAGAAAAGAAACCUAUUGAAAAAUUUAAAAUAACUAUCAAAAUAAAUAUGAUAAAAAUGACAACAUUGGUUUUCAUCUUAUAUUUUAUCUUGUGUAUAAUAUUGUUGGGGUAAUAUGCACUCUUCCAAAUCAGGUGCUUAUAGAUACAUUAAGAAAUUAUUUUAGCUUGUUAAACCUGGUAUUCAAACUUGAAUACUUCAUAUUUAUAACUGUAACUAUAUUUCUGUUUGUAUUUGUCCAAACUUUUCUACGUGUUCCAAAAAGGCAGAGACUUCUAGAACAUAAAUGCUGUCUUAAGAGUACAGUUCUCUGAGACCCAGAACAGUGAUUAAUCUGUUUCAAAUUAGUAAACCUUGUAAGCCUCCCCAAAAGGAGACAAUGGUGUUUGAGUCAAACAUCAAAAGAUGAAUGGAUUCUAGUUGGCAGGAAAAAAGGGUAAGAGCAUUCCAGGCUGAGGGCAAAGCAUUAGCUGAGGCAAAAGGAGCAAAAGUCUAUUUUGGAUCAGAAAAUGUAUAGAUGAAACUACAAGGUAAGAGAUGGCAUGUAACAAAUGAGACCAGAGUAAAGUUUUGGGACUAGUUUGGAUUUUAUUCUGUGGGCAGCAGGAACAUUUGAACACUAAAAAUAGAAAAAAAAUGACAUUCUCUAAUCUCUUAUCUAGAAAGAUAUGUCAAUAUCAGAAUGAUUUGGAAGUAAUAACCUAUAAAAUGCAGUUGUGCCUUAAUGAAGAAGAGAUAUAUUAAUACAGCCAAUUAUAGAUCAAACUAAAGACAGUGACUGUGGGGUUGAUAAGGGAAGAAUAAAUGGAAGAAAUACUGUAUAGUUUGAAUCUGUAUGACCUGGUAUUUGGAUAUGGAAAGUUUGGAAGACAGUUUUGUAAAAAUUCAUUGUUUUAAUGGAAGAAAUCUUAUUAAAGGGGCAUCCCAAAUGUUUUUUUAAAGAGUUUUUUUCUUUUUUAAAAAAUUUAUUUAUUUGUUGUAAUUUGUUAUACAUGACAGUAGAAUGCAUUUCAAUUCAUAGUAUACAUACAUAGGAGCAUAAUUUUUCAUGUCUCUGAUUAUACACAAAGUAUAAUCACACCAUUUGUGUCUUCAUACAUGUACUUAGGGUAAUGAUGUCCAUCUCAUCCCACCAUUUUUCCAACCCCCAUGCCCCAUCCCUUUCCCCACCUCCCCUUUGCCCUUUCUAAAGUUCCUCCAUUUCUUCCAUGCUCCCCACUGAUCCGCAUUAUGGAUCAGCAUCCACAUAUCAGAGAAAACAUUCGGCCUUUUGUUUUGGGGGAUUGGCUUACUUCACUUAGCAUGAUAUUCUCCAACUCCAUCCAUUUACCUGCAAAUGCCAUAAUUUUAUUCUCUUUUAAUGCUGAGUAGUAUUCCAUUGUGUGUGUAUGUAUGUAUAUGUAUGUAUGUAUGUAUGUGUGUGUGUGUGUGUGUGUGUGUGUAUAUAUAUAUAUAUAUAUAUAUAUAUAUAUAUCAAUAUCACAUUUUCUUUAUCUAUUCAUCUAUUGAAGGGCAUCUGGGUUGGUUCCACAAUUUAGCUAUUGUGAACUGUGCUGCUAUAAACAUUGAUGUGGCUGUGUCACUGUAGUAUGCUGUUUUUAAGUCCUUUGGGUAUAAACCAAGGAAUGGGAUAUAGCUGGGUCAAAUGGUGUUUACAUUCCAAGUUUUCCAAGGAAUCUCCAUACUGCUUUCCAGAUUGGUUGCACCAAUUUUUAGUCCCACCAGCAAUGUAUUAGUGUACCUUUUCUCCACAUUCUUGUCAACCCUUAUUGUUGUUUGUAUUCUUAAUAGUGGACAUUAUGACUGGUGUGAGAUAAAAAUCUUAAGAGAAGUUUUGAUUUGCAUUUCUCUAAUUGCUAGAGAUGUUGAAUAGUUUUUUCAUAUAUUUGUUGAUUGAUUGUACAUCUUCUUCUGAGAAGUGUCUAUUCAGUUCCUUGGUCCAUUUAUUGAUUGGGUUAUUUAUUUUUUUUGGUGUUAAGAUUUUGAGUUCCUUUUUUCCCCCCCAUUGAUUUUGAUAUUUUAUGAAUUGUUUCUGAAGAUGGGGUAAGUUUCUUUUAUGAGAACAUUUAUCCUACCUUAAUUUUGUUUUUAUUUAUUUAUUUAUUUUUAUUGGUUAUAUAUAACAGAAGAAGCAUUUCAAUUCAUAUUAUGUGUAUAGAGCAUAAUUUUUCAUGUGUCUGGUUGUACACAAAGUAGAGUCACACCAUUCUUGCCUUCAUAUAUGUACUUAGGAUAAUGGUGUUCAUCUCAUUCCACCAUCUUUCCUACCCCCAUGCCCAAGAUUUUUGAGUUCUUUAUAUAUCCUAGAGAUUAGUGCUCUAUCUGAUGUGCAUGUGGUGAAAAUUUGCUCCCAUUCUGUAGGUUCUCUAUUCACCUCACUGAUUGUUUCUAUUGCUGAGAAGAAGCUUUUUAGUUUGAAUCCAUCCCGUUUAUUGAUUCUUGAUUUUAUUUAUUGUACUAUAGAGUCUUAUUAAGGAAGUUGGGGCCUAAUCUGACAUAAUGAAUAUUUAGGCCUACUUUUUCUUCUAUUAGGCACAUGAUGAUAUAAUGACAUGAUGAAUAUUUGGGCCUACUUUUUCUCCUAUUUCUUCUAUCUGGUUUAAUUCCUAGGUCCUUGAUACACUUUGAGUUGAGUUUUGUGCAUGGUAAGAGAUAGGGACUUAAUUUUAUUUUGUUGCAUAUGGAGUUCCAGUUUUCCUAGAACCAUUUGUUGAAGGGGCUUUUUUUUCUCCAAUAUAGGGUUUUGGCACCUUUGUCUAUAUGAGAUAACUGUAUUUAUGUGCAUGUGUCUCAGUGUCCUCUACUCUGUACCAUUGGUCUACAAGUCUAUUUUGGUGCCAGUACCAUGCUGUUUUGUUACUAUUGUUCUGUAGUAUAGUUUAAGGUCUAGUAUAGUGAUGCCACUUGCUUCACUCUUCUUGCUAAGGAUUACUAUUCUGAGCUUCUUAUUUUUUCAGAUGAAGUUCAUAACUGCUUUUUUUAUUUCUAUGAGAAACGUCAUUGGGAUUUUGAUUAGAAUUGUAUUAAAUCUGUAGAGAGCUUUUGGUAUUAUGGUCAUUUUGACAAUAUUAAUUCUGCCUAUCCAAGAACAAGGGAGAUCUUUUCAUCUUCUAAGGUCUUCUUUAAUUUCUUUCUUUAGUGUUCUGUACUUUUCAUUGUAGAGUUCUUUCACCUCUUAUGUUAAGUUAAUUCCCAAGUAUUUUUUCUUUGAGACUAUUAUAAAUGGGGUAUAAUUUUCCUAGUUUCUCUUUCAGAGGAUUUGUCACUGGUAUACAAAAAUGCCCUUGAUUUAUGGGUGUUUAUUUUAUAUCCUGCUACUUUGCUUGAAUUCAUUUAUUAGUUCUAGAAGUUUUCUGGUAGAAUUUUUUGGCUUCUCUAGGUAUGGAAUCAUGUCCUUGGCUAAUAGUGAUAGUUUGAGUUCUUCUUUUCCUAUCAGUAUCCCUUUAAUUUCUUUUGUCUGUCUAAUUGCUCUGGCUAGAGUUUCAAGAACUAUGUUAAAUAGAAGUGGUAAAAGAGGGCAUCCCUGUCUUGUUCCAGUUUUUAGAGGUAAUGCUUUCAGGUUUUCUCCAUUUAGAAUAAUGUUGGCCUUGGGCUUAGCAUAGAUGGCUUUUGCAAUGUUGAAAUAUGUUUCUGUUAUCCCUCAUUUUUCUAGUGUUUUGAACAUGAAGGGGUGCUGUAUUUUGUUGAAUGCUUUUUCUUCAUUGAUUGAGAUGAUCAUAUGAUUCUUAUGUUUAAAUCUACUGAUGUGAUAAGUUACAUUUAUUGAUUUCCAUAUGUUGAACCAACAUCCCUGGGAUGAACCUCACUUAAUCAUGGUGCACUAUCUUUUUGACAUUCUUUUAUAUUCAAUUUGACAGAACCUUAUUGAGAAUUUUUGCAUCUAUAUUCAUUAGAAAUAUUGGUCUGAAGUUUUCUUUCUUUGAUGUUUUAGAAUCAGCAUGAUAUUGGCCUCAUAAAAUGAGUUUGGAAGUGUUCCCUCUUUUUCUAUUUCAUGAAAUAAUCUGAGGAGUAUUGGUAUUAAUUCUCCUUUGAAGGUCUUGUAGAACUCAGCUGUGUAUCCAUCUGGUCCUGGGCUUUUCUUGGUUGUUAGGUUUCUGAUGCCAUCUUCUAUUUCAUUGCUUAAAAUUGAUCUGUUUAAAUUGUGUAUAUCAUCCUGAUUCACUUUCGGCAAAUCAUAGGACUCUAGAAAUUUGUCGAUGCCUUCAAUAUUUUCUACUCUAUUGGAGUACAAAUUUUCAAAAUAAUUUGUAAUUAUCUUCUGUAUUUCUGUAGUGUCCAUUAUGAUAUUUCCUUUUUCAUCAUGGAUAUUAGUAAUCUGAGUUUUCUCUCUCCUUCUCUUCAUUAGCAUGGCUAAGGGUUUAUCAAUUUUCUUUAUUUUUUCAAAAAACCAUAUUUUUUGUCAAUUUUUUAAAUUGUUUCAAUUUCAUUUAUUUCAGCUCUGAUUUUAAUUAUUUCCUGUCUUCUACUGCUUUUGGUGUCGAUUUGUUCUUCUUUUUCUAGGGCUUUGAGGUGUAAUGUUAGGUCAUUUAUUUGUUGACUUUUUCUUCUUUUAAAGAAUAAACUCCAUGCAAUGAACUCUGCUCUUAGUACUGCCUUCAGAGUGUCCAAGAGAUUUUGAUAUGUUGUAUCAAUGUUCUCAUUUACCUCUAAGAAUUUUUUAAUCUCCUCGUUGAUGUCUUUUGCAACCCAUUGUUCAUUCAAUAGCAUAUUAUUUAGAUUCCAGAUGUUGGAGUAGCUUCUAUUUAUUAUUUUAUCAUUGAUUUCUAAUUUCAUUCCAUUAUGAUCUGAUAGAAUGCAGGGUAGUAGUUCUACUUUUUUAUAUUUGGUAAGAGUUGCUUUGUGCCUCACAUGCAGAAGGCCCUGGGUUCAAUCCCCAGCACCACAUAAAAAAAAAAAAGAGUUGCUUUGUGGCAUAAUAUAUGUUCUGUUUUAGAGAAUGAUCCAUGUACUGCUGAGAAAAAAGUAUAUUCACUCAUUGAUGGAUGAAAUAUAUGUGUGUGUGUAUAUAUAUAUAUAUAUAUAUAUAUAUAUAUAUAUAUAUAUAUAUAUAUAUAUAUAUAUAAAAUGAUUGGGUUAUUUGUUUUUUUGGUGUUAAGAUUUUUUAGUUCCUUUUUUUUCCCCAUUGACUUUCAUAUUGUAUGAGUGGUUUCUGAAGAUGGGGUAAGUUUCUUUUAUGAGAACAUUUAUCCUACCUUAAUUUUGUUUUGAUUUACUUAUUAUUUAUUUAUUUUUAUUCUAAUUGGUUAUAUAUGACAGAAAAAUGCAUUUCAAUUUAUAUUAUGCAUAUACAGCAUAAUUUUUCAUGUGUCUGGUUAUAUAUAUAUAAUACCUAUAUAUAUAAAAAAUAGCUAUACAUAUAUAUAUAUAUAUAUAUAAAAUAGCCAUAUAUAUAUAUAUAUAUAUAUAUAUAUAUAUAUAUAUAGUGUUUUUAGAAACACUAUCUCCCUAUUGAAAUAAUCUUUUGCUUCCUGUAUUUGCUUAUGUAGUUCUUUAUCGAAUUGAUUUUAUAUAUAUAUAUAUAUAUAUAUAUAUAUAUAUAUAUAUAUAUAUAUAUAUAUAUAAUCUGUUAAGUCUAAGUUAUUGAUUGUAUUAUUGAGUUCUAUAGUUUCUUUGUUCAGCUUUUGUUUGGAAGAGCUAUCCAGUGGUGAAAGGGUGUGUUAAAGUCACCCAGCAUCUUGAACUUGAGAAGAAUUUGUUUGAUGAAUGUAUAUGCUCCAUUGUUUGGGCAUAUAUAUUUAUAAUUGUUAUGUCUUUUUGACAUAUGAUUCCCUUAAGCAGUAUAAAAUAUCCUCCUUUAUCCCUUUUGAUUAACUUUGGCUUGAAGUCUACUUUAUUUGAUAUGAUGAUGGAAACUUUUGCUUGUUUUCUCAGUCCAUGUGAGUGGUAUAUUUUUUUACCAACCUUUCACCUUCAGUCUGUGGCUGUCUUUUCCUAUGAGAUGAUUUUUUUGGAGACAUGAUAUUGUUUGGUCUUUUUUCUUUUAAAUCUAAUCUGCCAGUCUAUGUCUUUUGAUUGGUGAGUUUAGGCCAUUAACAUUCAGGGUUAUUAUUGAGACAGGAUUUUUAUUCCCAGUCAUUUUUGUUUAUUUUUGGUAUUUAAUAUGACUUGGUUUCUCCUUUGAUUGGUUUUCCCUUUAGUGUAAUACCUCCCUUUGCUGAUUUUCAUUUCUUUCUCCUAGAAUAUUUUGCCAAGGAUGUUCUGUAGUGCAGUCUUUCUAGUUGUAAAUUCUUUUAACUUUUGUUUAUCAUUUUGUUUUUAUUUCAUCAUCAAUCUAAAGCUUAAUUUUGCUCUAUAUAAGAUUCUUGGUUGGCAUCCAUUUUCUUUCAGAGCUUAGUAUAUGUUGUUACAGGUGCUUCUAGCUUUCAGGGUCUGGGCUGAAAAAUCUGCAGAUAACAUAAUUGGUUACCACCUAUAUGUAAUCUGAUUCCUUUCUCUAUGGCUUUUAAAUUUUUCUGUUUAUUCUGUAUGCUAGGCAUUUUCAGUAUAAUGUGCCUUGGUGAGGAUCUGUUGUAAUUUUGUACAUUUGGUAUCCUGUAAGCCUCCUGUAUUUGAUUUUCCAAUUCAUUCUUCAUGUUUGGAAAAUUUUCUGAUAUUAUUUCAUUAUAUAGAUUAUUCAUUCCUUUGGUUUGGAACUCUAUUCCUUCCUCUAUCCCAAUAACUCUUAAAUUUUGUUUUUUUUUUUAUGUUAUCCCAUAAUUCUUGAAUGUUCUGCUCAUGGUUUCUUACCAUCUUCACUGUGUGGUCAACAUUCUUUUCAAGAUUAUAUAUUUUGUCUUCAUUGUCUAAGGUUCUGUCUUCCAAAUUAUCUAAUCUGAUGGUGGUGCUUUCUGUUGAGUUUUUAAUUUGGUUUAUUGUUUCUUUCAUUUCAAGGAUUUCUUUUUGUUUUUUGUUUUUUUUAGAAACUCUAUCUCCCUAUUGAAAUAAUCUUUUGCUUCCUAUAUUUGCUUAUGUAGUUCUUUAUUGAAUUGAUCUUUUGCUGCCUGUAUUUGCUUUCUUAUAUUAUCCUUUAAUUCACAGAACAUUUUAAUUGUGUACAUCCUGAACACCUUCUCUGUAAUUUCUUCUGUUGUGCUGGCCAUAGAUCCUAAUAAAGUAGUAUCUUGGUUUGUUUGGGGCACUUUCUUCUCUUGUUUUUUCAUGUUGUUUGUAUCUUCCUUUCUAGCACUGUGGAUCUGAGGAAUUACAGUUUUUACCCUAUAGGCUUAUAGUGUCCCUGCAAGGUUCCAAUACCUUUCCUUUAAGGGGCAGAACAAUAUUAAUAGAUCUCAAUACAAACUAUAUACUACCUUAAACCAAAUAGCUGCUAUUAAGACAUUUCGGUUUUGUCACAAUAUACAGAAAUGGAGAGUUCAAUUAUUAUCUACAAUAUAAAUAGUAGGUUUGCAAAAGGGUCUACAGUUUCAGAUGGUGGACAAAGAUCUGGGGAUGAGGUGUAGAAUGAGAUAUUGAGGGGGUGGGGUGGGAGGUGAGGAUAUAGAUUUAUUAGAUCUUAGGAAGCAUGAAAGAGGAAUAUAGAGAGGUUGGUUAGUAUCAGGAGAAGAGAGAGAAAGUGAUUUGGGGGAGACAAGUAAGAGGGAAGACAAUAGAGUAUAGAAAACAAACAUAAAUAGUAAAAAAAAUUAAAAAUGUAAAAAUAGGAGAUAAGAGAAUAUACAACACAACUAUAACAUAUUAUUCACACAUCCCAGUCCUCAGUAGACUAAUUCAUGAAAAGUACUUGAUUUCACAAAUGUUGGGAAUGUGACAGUGGGAGAAGAGAGAGAAAAGAGAAAAAAAAAUUUUUUUUUGUAGGAAAAUACAAGGAUUGUUUUUGUUGGAGAUCAGUAUCUUUUCUGCUUCCCUUUUCAUCCAGUAGGUGGGGUUGUCUGUUGUUUGCUGGUAUCUCCACCCUCAUGAUGGUGAAGGUUAUUAGUAUGGGAGGGUUGGUCUUGGGGGUGGAGUUCCUGGAGGCAGGAUAAAGCACUUGCCAUUCUGAUGGGAGACUGCAUCCCAACUGUCUCCUUUGGGGCCCACUCUUGUGAUGUGGGCAUUUUAUCUCCUUAUAUGACCUGUAGACUUCACAAUUCCUGGUCUCUAAUUUAGUCUCAAAACUGUAUCUCACCACCUCCCUUUCUACUUCCCAAUGGGGAACCUUUCUCACCAGAGAUCUUUUGUGCUGUGCUCUGAGGGGUGUGCACCCUUCCUGCAGAGCUGUUUUAUUUUGGGCAGUUCAGGACCAGGUUUGGGAGCUAUAGACUGGCUGUGUAGCUGCAAACACUGUGCUGGGUUAGUGCUACUGGGUAGAGGCGGGAGUUGGGGGCUAUAGGUACCUUGAUAUUGCUUCUAUGCACCAGCUGGUGUCCCAAGCUGGGAGUUGUCCCAAGCUGGGAGUUGCCCCAACUAAAGAUGAUCCCAAGAUGGAGGUAGCUGCUUUAAUUGAUGGGGUGUUGGAUGGGGUGGGGUCGAACGGUGGCACUGAGCGGCAUUUUCAGAGAUACAGCUCUGUGGUAUGCAGUGUUGUGGCUGGUGGCUGUUUCCAGACCCUUUGCCAUGUCCCCAGGUGCAGGCUACCACAUGUAUGGGAUUAUGGCAGUGGUUGCAGUGUCACAAGAUGGAGGUGACUGGGGGAGCCUCAUGUUGGUAGAUUAGGGUCCACAUAGGAGUGGCAGCCAGAAGUCCUGCACAUGGGCAAUGGCUGGGUGUCCAGCGUGGGAGCUGCGGCAGAAUUCCUGCUUGGGUGCUGAUGCCUGUGGUCCUACUCAGACACCUGGAGGUCCUGUGUGGGUGAGUGGCCAGGAGUCCUGCACUGACACUUAGGCCUGGAGACCUGCGCGAGCACAGCAGCCAUGAUUCCUGCACUUGAGCAGCUGUUGGAUGUCCUCUAAUAACUCACAGAGAAACAGUAUUUCCACUACUUGAAUCACAGGUCACAGAGCAACACAGAAUGCAGCCCCCUUGGGGCCCGCCAUCUUGGAACCUUCUCCCGAAUGGUUUUUGAAUACUAUGCACAAAGUUCUAUAAUUUAAGGCAGUAAAAUUUUAGAAAAUUAAAGUUUUACAAAGUAGACGAUUACUUAAAAAUAAAUAUGGUCAAGAUAGGUAGAUUUCAGGUAGACUUGGCAGCACACAAGUUUUCUUUUUGUUGUUAUUAAAUCAGGGUCUCAACUAUGUUGCCUCAAACUCUUAGGCUCCUGCCUCAGCCCUUGUUGGAAUAAGUUUUCAUACUCAAGUUUCAGGUAAAUCAUAAAUAAACAAUAGUGCUAUAACAUCAAACCACCUUGUAUGAUUGAUGUCCUUAUUGUCACACAAUCUCCUAGUUAAAUAGUAGAAGAGAUAGAAUCCUAUUAAUAAGUAAUAAUAACCAUAUCAAAUUAUGUAAUUAAUAUUUGUAGGAUAAUAGGUUUAAAUACAGAGGGCUUAUUUCCUAGGAAAAAAGGGAAUAAGAAUGUUUCUAAUAGCAAUUUAAGAGUUAAGAAUCUCAAAAUAACCAUUGCAUAUAAAAAGGUAUGUUUAUGCCAAGAAACAUUUUAUUUAUGUUCAGCACACACUUUUACUGAAAGUUCUAAGUAAUUCCUACAUUGAAAAUGUGUUCAUUUGGUAGGAAACUGAAGCUAAAUGAAGUAACUUUUCCUGAAAAACUCAUGGAGACCAUAAAUCUAAUAUCUAUGCAAUCACUCUAUAGUAAAUUAUUUCAUUAUGGUGGGGCAUUCCAUUAUAUAAUUGACAGGCUGAAAUUUGCUACAAAGUUAAAACUAUUAUAAGGAUUUGGAUGAUUACAAGUGGGUUUUUUUCCCCCUUUAAAAUCCAUAGCCAAAUAGUUGCACAUGUUGGAGUCAAUCAGUGAGUGUGCUCUCAAAAAAAUAAAAAUGAAGAGCUGGGGCUCAGUGGUAGAGCGCUUGCCUCACACAUAUGAGGCACUGGGUUCAAUCUACAGCACCACAUAAACAUAAAUUAGUAAACAGAUAUUGUGUCCAUCUACUACUAAAAAAAAUUUUUUAAUAAAAUUAAAAUGAAACUUUUAACUUCUCAGUGCUUAUUAAUGAUAAAAUGUAAACUUGCUUCUCUUUCAGUCUUCCUUUUUUAAGUAAAUUUAGUACCUAAGCCUGACCUGGAGAUCAUUCUCAAUUCUCUUUCUUGCCUACCAUCACCACCACAUCCACAUUCAGUUAGUGAUAGUUUCUGCAGGUUUGCCCUCUUAAAAAUUCUUCCCCCCUUCUCAGCCUACAAGAUUAAAAAAUGAAUCUUCAAAUCAAUUCCUAGCCUCCCUUGAAGCCAGGAAUAGCCAUCUGGCACGAUUCUGGCCAGCAAUUUAAAGCAAAAUUCUUAUCCUUUAAAAACAUAAUUCUGAUUAAAAAAAUUGGGUUAGGUACCAAAGUUUUAUUUAACUCAGUGAGGGAGGGAAACAGCAGGAAGAAAAAAAUCUAAAUGUUUAAAUGGUAAUAUUAAAAAUUUGGAAAUUGUUGUUUUUAUAAUGAGUGGAAGAAAAAAAAAGGAGUGCUGAGAUAAGAUCACUAAAUUAGGUACAAAAGUGGUUCAAGUCCUGUGGGGGAGGACAAACCAGAAUCUUUAAGGUUAUCCUUUCUACUGAACAGAAAAAAAAAAUUAUCCCCACUCAUCUAUUUCAUUGGAGUUAGCCUCUAACUGUAGAGUUGUUUGUUAUGUAAAUAUGUGAGCUUAAACCAUAGGAAGUACUGUGUUAGAAUUACCUUCCCUGGAGAAUUAAAUGACUGCUUAGCAGACUUUUUUUUUUUUUUAAACACUGGAGUUGGAACCCAGGUGCACUCUACCACUAAGCUACAUCCCCAGCCCUUUUUAUUUUGAGACAGGGUUUUCAAGGGUCUUGCUAAGUUGCUGAGGCUGGCCUCAAACUUGCAAUCCUCCUGCCUUAGCUUCUGGAAUCACUGGGAUUGCAGGUAUGUGCCACUGUGCCUGGCUUGGCAGCUUCUUAAACAGUGCUAUUGCAUGACAUUAAUUAAUUAAUUAAUUAUUUCCAAGUUUUGAAUAUUUUCCUCCAUAAUUAUAAUAGUAGACACUGAACUUUAUACAGAGUUAAAGCUUCUUCCCUUCUCUGCAUUAUUCUCUAUUAUUACUUCAGGGACAUUUGCUGGGAAUUUGAAGCUCUAGUGUUAAUCUAACUUACUUUUCCAGAUUUAACAUGCUCUGGUCUUAACACAAUGAUGUUUUCUAUUGUCAGUAUCAAGAAAAGUAUAAGUAGAUACAGCAAGUAAUGAAUCUAUUCUAAUCAAAUCUACUUUUUGUCUGCAGAGGGGCUGAAACCAGGUGAACCUUUUGAUUUCCAAACUUCAGACUUUGGUGUAAGCUAGUCAAAUGAGGAUGCAAAUUUCAGCACUGUGAAACCAACAGAAACAUAAAAGAACUCAAAGAAACGAACAUCUCUUGCACCAAGUCUACACUCUCAAAACCAAUCCAUGUCCUCUGUAACCACACAAUAAAGAGUUUGGGAAUUAUAUUUUAUGUUUUGAAGGCCCAUAUGCAAUACUUGGGAGCCUGAAGUCCAAGCCAGUUGUGGCAGUUGCAGAGUGCUUAUUCCAUAUUCAAAUGCUUUAUAAAGAAGGAAGAGACCCACCCACAAAAAUGGGGUCCUAAUUAGAAUAAGAUAUAUCCUAUGUUUGUAUAAUUUUAUCAAAAUGGAUUCUACUAUCAUGUAUAAGUAAGUAGAACUGAUAAAACAAAAUUUACAAAAAAAGAAGGAAGAGAAUGAGUCUGAUCUCUUGAAUAUUAUGCCUAAUAAAGGAAUAGAAAAUACUUUUGUUGCAGUCCUACACAAAGCAGAAGACUUACAGAUGGCAUGAAGAAGGUAAAAGUUUAUCCAUAUACUUUUUUAGUUUUUCUUAGCAGGUUUUAUGUUUCCAUUUCUCAAUAAUAUAAUUUCUUUCUACAAGAAUUAUAGAUUUUGGGGCUGGGGUUGUGGCUCAGUGGUAGAGCGCUGACCUAGCAUGUGUGAGGUACUGGGUUCGAUUCUCAGCACCACAUAUAAAUAAAUGAAUAAAAUAAAAGUCCAUCAACAUCUUUUUUUUUCAAAAAAAGGAUUAUAGAUUUUUCAUAAUUACAAAUAAAAUUUGGUUUGAGAACAUGAUGUAAUGUUCCUUUACUUUAACUUUAGAUACUGGUUAGGAGUUUCCAAACAAAACUUUUUAGCUCUAAAAAUAAUUAUCGUGUUUUAUAAAAUAAAAAUACAGAGAGAAGUUCCAGUGCAGCCUUUGUGUUGCUUCCGACACUUUUACAAAUACUUGGACUUUUUCCUCCUUUAGGUUUGGGGUGAAUGUGUAGCCAAUGAUAGUUACUUUUAAAAUAGACUCCUGUUAAAAGUGAAGGAUGGAAGAGAGGGCUAAGUUUCUUUUUUAAUUAGAAAUUGAGAUAUUAUUACCUUAUUAUUGAGGCAAACCAUUUAAAAAUCUUGACUCUCAUUCUUUGCUAGAUUUUAAUAUGUUAUACAUAUUAACAUAAUGUAGUAUUGUUACUGAUUAGAAUUCCUUAAAGGAGUUUUUUUUCCCCACUGAUAUUAACUUAAAGAAAAAUUGUAAUAAGGUUGUACAUGCUUAAUUAUAAAUUAAGCAUCUUUGGUUAUAGAGAUAAUUUGGCUAACAACUGAUAGACAUCAUUCCUUCCUAUAUUGUCUUGGGCAUCUAGUAUUUAUGUAUGAAAAAAGUUAUUUCUUUAUGUUUGAGGUGAUGACAUUUCUUAACUGUACCAGCAGAGAAAACAGUUUGUUCUUCAUUAUUGUAUUUACUGAAGAAAUAAAGGCAGGCUGGGGAUGUGGCUCAAGUGGAUAGCAUGCUUGCCUAGCAUGUGUGAGGCAUGGGGUUCAAUUCUCAGCACUACAUAAAAAUAAAAUAAAGAUAUUGUGUCUACUUAAAACUAAAAAAACUAAAAAAGAAA
Molecule: long non-coding RNA, 15829 nt
Filed under: Marmota monax (woodchuck)
Lineage: Eukaryota; Metazoa; Chordata; Mammalia; Rodentia; Sciuridae
Rfam family: tRNA (bases 14852-14920)
Source: RNAcentral